AGACCCGAAACCCGGUGAUCUAGCCAUGGGCAGGUUGAAGGUUGGGUAACACUAACUGGAGGACCGAACCGACUAAUGUUGAAAAAUUAGCGGAUGACCUGUGGCUGGGGGUGAAAGGCCAAUCAAACCGGGAGAUAGCUGGUUCUCCCCGAAAGCUAUUUAGGUAGCGCCUCGUGAAUUCAUCUCCGGGGGUAGAGCACUGUUUCGGCUAGGGGGCCAUCCCGGCUUACCAACCCGAUGCAAACUGCGAAUACCGGAGAAUGUUAUCACGGGAGACACACGGCGGGUGCUAACGUCCGUCGUGAAGAGGGAAACAACCCAGACCGCCAGCUAAGGUCCCAAAGUCAUGGUUAAGUGGGAAACGAUGUGGGAAGGCCCAGACAGCCAGGAUGUUGGCUUAGAAGCAGCCAUCAUUUAAAGAAAGCGUAAUAGCUCACUGGUCGAGUCGGCCUGCGCGGAAGAUGUAACGGGGCUAAACCAUGCACCGAAGCUGCGGCAGCGACGCUUAUGCGUUGUUGGGUAGGGGAGCGUUCUGU
This 536-nucleotide ribosomal RNA is filed under the name Salmonella enterica. RNAcentral's name for it is "partial 23S ribosomal RNA". It matches the Rfam family "Bacterial large subunit ribosomal RNA", at positions 711 to 1244 of the family's 2925-position model. Lineage: Bacteria; Pseudomonadati; Pseudomonadota; Gammaproteobacteria; Enterobacterales; Enterobacteriaceae. RNAcentral also lists the same sequence under 1 other name. The record is from RNAcentral.